RNAcentral lists this ribosomal RNA (449 nucleotides) under uncultured bacterium. RNAcentral describes it as "partial 16S ribosomal RNA". It matches the Rfam family "Bacterial small subunit ribosomal RNA", at positions 29 to 523 of the family's 1533-position model. The record is from RNAcentral.
AACGAACGCUGGCGGCAUGCCUAACACAUGCAAGUCAAACGAAGCCUUCGGGCUUAGUGGCGCACGGGUGCGUAACGCGUGGGAAUCUGCCCUUGGGUUCGGAAUAACAGUUAGAAAUGACUGCUAAUACCGGAUGAUGUCUUCGGACCAAAGAUUUAUCGCCCAAGGAUGAGCCCGCGUAGGAUUAGGUAGUUGGUGGGGUAAUGGCCCACCAAGCCGACGAUCCUUAGCUGGUCUGAGAGGAUGAUCAGCCACACUGGGACUGAGACACGGCCCAGACUCCUACGGGAGGCAGCAGUGGGGAAUAUUGGACAAUGGGCGAAAGCCUGAUCCAGCAAUGCCGCGUGAGUGAUGAAGGCCUUAGGGUUGUAAGGCUCUUUUACCAGGGAUGAUAAUGACAGUACCUGGAGAGUAAGCUCCGGCUAACUCCGUGCCAGCAGCCGCCGUAA